This 433-nucleotide ribosomal RNA is filed under the name uncultured bacterium. RNAcentral's name for it is "partial 16S ribosomal RNA". It matches the Rfam family "Bacterial small subunit ribosomal RNA", at positions 29 to 507 of the family's 1533-position model. The record is from RNAcentral.
AACGAACGCUGGCGGCAUGCCUAACACAUGCAAGUCGAACGAGACCUUCGGGUCUAGUGGCGCACGGGUGCGUAACGCGUGGGAACCUGCCCUUAGGUUCGGAAUAACUCCCCGAAAGGGGUGCUAAUACCGGAUAAUGUCUUCGGACCAAUGAUUUAUCGCCUUUGGAUGGGCCCGCGUUGGAUUAGCUAGUUGGUAGGGUAAAAGCCUACCAAGGCGACGAUCCAUAGCUGGUCUGAGAGGAUGAUCAGCCACACUGGGACUGAGACACGGCCCAGACUCCUAAGGGAGGCAGCAGUGGGGAAUAUUGGACAAUGGGCGAAAGCCUGAUCCAGCAAUGCCGCGUGAGUGAUGAAGGCCUUAGGGUUGUAAAGCUCUUUUACCCGGGAUGAUAAUGACAGUACCGGGAGAAUAAGCUCCGGCUAACUCCGUG